GGGAACCUCACCCGGCCCGGACACCGCGAGGAUUGACAGACUGAGAGCUCUUUCUCGAUUCGGUGGGUGGUGGUGCAUGGCCGUUCUUAGUUGGUGGAGCGAUCUGUCUGGUUAAUUCCGAUAACGAACGAGACCCCAACCUGCUAACUAGCCCUCGGGUCCUGCUUCUGUUGGGCCCGACGGAAUGAUUCGCUUCUUAGAGGGACUGGCGACCCCUAGUCGCACGAGGUUGAGCAAUAA
RNAcentral lists this ribosomal RNA (240 nucleotides) under uncultured eukaryote. RNAcentral describes it as "partial 18S ribosomal RNA". It matches the Rfam family "Eukaryotic small subunit ribosomal RNA", at positions 1208 to 1456 of the family's 1831-position model. The record is from RNAcentral.